RNAcentral lists this ribosomal RNA (253 nucleotides) under uncultured bacterium. RNAcentral describes it as "partial 16S ribosomal RNA". It matches the Rfam family "Bacterial small subunit ribosomal RNA", at positions 524 to 776 of the family's 1533-position model. The record is from RNAcentral.
UACGUAGGUGGCGAGCGUUGUCCGGAUUUAUUGGGCGUAAAGCGCGCGCAGGUGGUGCGGUAAGUCCUGUGUGAAAUCUCCCGGCUCAACUGGGAGGGUGCGGAGGAGACUGCCGGACUGGAGGCACUCAGAGGCCGGUGGAAUUCCCGGUGUAGUGGUGAAAUGCGUAGAGAUCGGGAGGAACACCAGAGGCGAAGGCGGCGACCUGGACAGGUACUGACACUCAACUACGAAAGCGUGGGGAGCAAACAGG